This 492-nucleotide ribosomal RNA is filed under the name uncultured bacterium. RNAcentral's name for it is "partial 16S ribosomal RNA". It matches the Rfam family "Bacterial small subunit ribosomal RNA", at positions 29 to 507 of the family's 1533-position model. The record is from RNAcentral.
AGUGAACGCUGGCGGUAGGCCUAACACAUGCAAGUCGAACGGCAGCACAGUAAGAGCUUGCUCUUACGGGUGGCGAGUGGUGGACGGGUGAGGAAUACAUCGGAAUCUACUUUUUCGUGGGGGAUAACGUAGGGAAACUUACGCUAAUACCGCAUACGACCUACGGGUGAAAGCAGGGGAUCUUCGGACCUUGCGCGAUUGAAUGAGCCGAUGUCGGAUUAGCUAGUUGGCGGGGUAAAGGCCCACCAAGGCGACGAUCCGUAGCUGGUCUGAGAGGAUGAUCAGCCAUACUGGAACUGAGACACGGUCCAGACUCCUACGGGAGGCAGCAGUGGGGAAUAUUGGACAAUGGGCGCAAGCCUGAUCCAGCCAUACCGCGUGGGUGAAGAAGGCCUUCGGGUUGUAAAGCCCUUUUGUUGGGAAAGAAAAGCAGCAGGUUAAUACCCCGCUGUUCUGACGGUACCCAAAGAAUAAGCACCGGCUAACUUCGUG